This 1418-nucleotide ribosomal RNA is filed under the name metagenome. Its description in RNAcentral is "bacterial LSU rRNA". It matches the Rfam family "Bacterial large subunit ribosomal RNA", at positions 1526 to 2925 of the family's 2925-position model. The record is from RNAcentral.
UGAUUCUUAGGCAAAUCCGGGAAUCUCUAUGCUGAGCACCGAGACGAGUCCUAUGAGGACGAAGUGACUGACACCACGCUUCCAGGAAAAGCCACUAAGCUUCAGCUGUAGAAAAACCGUACCGCAAACCGACACGGGUAGGCAGGGUGAGAAUCCCAAGGCGCUUGAGAGAACUCGGGUGAAGGAACUAGGCAAAAUGGCACCGUAACUUCGGGAGAAGGUGCGCCUCUUGGUGUGGUCACGUGCGUGACUGAGCAUCGAGGGGUCGCAGUAACCUGGCCGCUGCGACUGUUUAUCAAAAACACAGCACUCUGCAACACGAAAGUGGACGUAUAGGGUGUGACGCCUGCCCGGUGCUGGAAGGUUAAUUGAUGGGGUCAGCCGCAAGGCGAAGCUCUUGAUCGAAGCCCCAGUAAACGGCGGCCGUAACAAUAACGGUCCUAAGGUAGCGAAAUUCCUUGUCGGGUAAGUUCCGACCUGCACGAAUGGCGUAACGACAGCGGCGCUGUCUCCACCCGAGACUCAGUGAAAUUGAAAUCGCUGUGAAGAUGCAGCGUUCCCGCGGCAAGACGGAAAGACCCCGUGAACCUUUACUAUAGCUUUACACUGAACGUUGAGUUCUUCUGUGUAGGAUAGGUGGGAGGCUAUGAAACCAGGACGCUAGUUCUGGUGGAGCCAUCCUUGAAAUACCACCCUGAAGUGCUUGACGUUCUAACCUAGGUCCGUAAUCCGGAUCGGGGACCGUGUAUGGUGGGUAGUUUGACUGGGGCGGUCUCCUCCCAAAGAGUAACGGAGGAGCACGAAGGUACGCUCAGCGCGGUCGGACAUCGCGCACUGUGUGCAAAGGCAUAAGCGUGCUUGACUGCGAGAUCGACGGAUCAAGCAGGUACGAAAGUAGGUCUUAGUGAUCCGGUGGUUCUGUAUGGAAGGGCCAUCGCUCAACGGAUAAAAGGUACUCCGGGGAUAACAGGCUGAUACCGCCCAAGAGUUCAUAUCGACGGCGGUGUUUGGCACCUCGAUGUCGGCUCAUCACAUCCUGGGGCUGUAGCCGGUCCCAAGGGUAUGGCUGUUCGCCAUUUAAAGUGGUACGCGAGCUGGGUUCAGAACGUCGUGAGACAGUUCGGUCCCUAUCUGUCGUGGGCGUUGGAGAUUUGAGGGGGGCUGCUCCUAGUACGAGAGGACCGGAGUGGACGUUCCGCUGGUGUUCGGGUUGUCAUGCCCAUGGCAUUGCCCGGUAGCUACGAACGGAAUUGAUAACCGCUGAAAGCAUCUAAGCGGGAAGCACGCCCCAAGAUGAGAUCUCCCGAGAGCUUGACUCUCCUAAAGGCACCAUCAAGACUAGGUGGUUGAUAGGCACGGUGUGGAAGUGCAGCAAUGCAUUGAGCUUACGUGUACUAAUGAGCCGUGAGGCUUGACCG